UUUUAUGGAGAGUUUGAUCCUGGCUCAGAGUGAACGCUGGCGGCGUGCCUAAUACAUGCAAGUCGAACGAUGAAGCUUCUAGCUUGCUAGAGUGCUGAUUAGUGGCGCACGGGUGAGUAACGCAUAGGUUAUGUGCCUCUUAGUUUGGGAUAGCCAUUGGAAACGAUGAUUAAUACCAGAUACUCCCUACGGGGGAAAGAUUUAUCGCUAAGAGAUCAGCCUAUGUCCUAUCAGCUUGUUGGUAAGGUAAUGGCUUACCAAGGCUAUGACGGGUAUCCGGCCUGAGAGGGUGAACGGACACACUGGAACUGAGACACGGUCCAGACUCCUACGGGAGGCAGCAGUAGGGAAUAUUGCUCAAUGGGGGAAACCCUGAAGCAGCAACGCCGCGUGGAGGAUGAAGGUUUUAGGAUUGUAAACUCCUUUUGUUAGAGAAGAUAAUGACGGUAUCUAACGAAUAAGCACCGGCUAACUCCGUGCCAGCAGCCGCGGUAAUACGGAGGGUGCAAGCGUUACUCGGAAUCACUGGGCGUAAAGAGCGCGUAGGCGGGAUAGUCAGUCAGGUGUGAAAUCCUAUGGCUUAACCAUAGAACUGCAUUUGAAACUACUAUUCUAGAGUGUGGGAGAGGUAGGUGGAAUUCUUGGUGUAGGGGUAAAAUCCGUAGAGAUCAAGAGGAAUACUCAUUGCGAAGGCGACCUGCUGGAACAUUACUGACGCUGAUUGCGCGAAAGCGUGGGGAGCAAACAGGAUUAGAUACCCUGGUAGUCCACGCCCUAAACGAUGGAUGCUAGUUGUUGGAGGGCUUAGUCUCUCCAGUAAUGCAGCUAACGCAUUAAGCAUCCCGCCUGGGGAGUACGGUCGCAAGAUUAAAACUCAAAGGAAUAGACGGGGACCCGCACAAGCGGUGGAGCAUGUGGUUUAAUUCGAAGAUACACGAAGAACCUUACCUAGGCUUGACAUUGAGAGAAUCCGCUAGAAAUAGUGGAGUGUCUAGCUUGCUAGACCUUGAAAACAGGUGCUGCACGGCUGUCGUCAGCUCGUGUCGUGAGAUGUUGGGUUAAGUCCCGCAACGAGCGCAACCCCCUUUCUUAGUUGCUAACAGGUUAUGCUGAGAACUCUAAGGAUACUGCCUCCGUAAGGAGGAGGAAGGUGGGGACGACGUCAAGUCAUCAUGGCCCUUACGCCUAGGGCUACACACGUGCUACAAUGGGGUGCACAAAGAGAAGCAAUACUGCGAAGUGGAGCCAAUCUUCAAAACACCUCUCAGUUCGGAUUGCAGGCUGCAACUCGCCUGCAUGAAGCUGGAAUCGCUAGUAAUCGCAAAUCAGCCAUGUUGCGGUGAAUACGUUCCCGGGUCUUGUACUCACCGCCCGUCACACCAUGGGAGUUGUGUUUGCCUUAAGUCAGGAUGCUAAAUUGGCUACUGCCCACGGCACACACAGCGACUGGGGUGAAGUCGUAACAAGGUAACCGUAGGUGAACCUGCGGUUGGAUCACCUCCUUUCUAGA
RNAcentral lists this ribosomal RNA (1510 nucleotides) under Helicobacter pylori. RNAcentral describes it as "bacterial SSU rRNA". It matches the Rfam family "Bacterial small subunit ribosomal RNA". Lineage: Bacteria; Pseudomonadati; Campylobacterota; Epsilonproteobacteria; Campylobacterales; Helicobacteraceae. The record is from RNAcentral.